Molecule: ribosomal RNA, 1475 nt
Filed under: Candidatus Pelagibacter sp.
Lineage: Bacteria; Pseudomonadati; Pseudomonadota; Alphaproteobacteria; Candidatus Pelagibacterales; Candidatus Pelagibacteraceae
Description: bacterial SSU rRNA
Rfam family: Bacterial small subunit ribosomal RNA
Source: RNAcentral
AAACUUGAGAGUUUGAUCAUGGCUCAGAACGUACGCUGGCGGCACGCCUAACACAUGCAAGUCGAACGAAGUAGCAAUACUUAGUGGCAGACGGGUGAGUAACAUGUAGGUAUCUGCCCUUUGGCCUGGAAUAACACGAGGAAACUUGUGCUAAUACCGGAUAAGUCUUUACGGAGAAAGCUUUAUGCACCAUUGGAUGAGCCUGCACUUGAUUAGUUUGUUGGUAGGGUAAUGGCCUACCAAGACUGUGAUCAAUAGCUGAUUUGAGAGGAUGAUCAGCCACAUUGGGACUGAGACACGGCCCAAACUCCUACGGGAGGCAGCAGUGGGGAAUCUUGCACAAUGGAGGAAACUCUGAUGCAGCGAUGCCGCGUGAGUGAAGAAGGCCUUUGGGUUGUAAAGCUCUUUCGUCGGGGAAGAAAAUGACUGUACCCGAAUAAGAAGGUCCGGCUAACUUCGUGCCAGCAGCCGCGGUAAUACGAAGGGACCUAGCGUAGUUCGGAAUUACUGGGCUUAAAGAGUUCGUAGGUGGUUGAAAAAGUUGGUGGUGAAAUCCCAGAGCUUAACUCUGGAACUGCCAUCAAAACUUUUCAGCUAGAGUUUGAUAGAGGAAAGCAGAAUUUCUAGUGUAGAGGUGAAAUUCGUAGAUAUUAGAAAGAAUACCAAUUGCGAAGGCAGCUUUCUGGAUCAUUACUGACACUGAGGAACGAAAGCAUGGGUAGCGAAGAGGAUUAGAUACCCUCGUAGUCCAUGCCGUAAACGAUGUGUGUUAGACGUUGGAAAUUUAUUUUCAGUGUCGCAGCGAAAGCGAUAAACACACCGCCUGGGGAGUACGACCGCAAGGUUAAAACUCAAAUGAAUUGACGGGGACCCGCACAAGUAGUGGAGCAUGUGGUUUAAUUCGAAGAUACGCGCAGAACCUUACCAACACUUGACAUGUUCGUCGCGACUCUAAGAGAUUAGAGUUUUCGGUUCGGCCGGACGAAACACAGGUGCUGCAUGGCUGUCGUCAGCUCGUGUCGUGAGAUGUUGGGUUAAGUCCCGCAACGAGCGCAACCCUCACUUUUAGUUGCCAUCAUUAAGUUGGGCACUCUGAAAGAACUGCCAGUGAUAAGCUGGAGGAAGGUGGGGAUGACGUCAAGUCCUCAUGGCCCUUACGUGUUGGGCUACACACGUGCUACAAUGGUAUCUACAACAGGAAGCAAGACUGCGAAGUUAAGCAAAUCCCUAAAAGAUACCUCAGUUCGGAUUGCACUCUGCAACUCGAGUGCAUGAAGCUGGAAUUACUAGUAAUCGUGGAUCAGCGUGCCACGGUGAAUGCGUUCCCGGGUCUUGUACACACCGCCCGUCACACCAUGGGAGUUGGUUCUACCUUAAGGCAAGGCUUUAAACCCUUGACCACGGUAUAGUCAGCGACUGGGGUGAAGUCGUAACAAGGUAGCCGUAGGGGAACCUGCGGCUGGAUUACCUCCUUU